UUUCCGGUUGAUCCCGCCGGACCUGACUGCUAUCGGAUUGAUACUAAGCCAUGCGAGUCUUUGUAGUAAUACAAGGCAGACGGCUCAGUAAUACGUAGUCAACCUACCCUAUGGACAAGAAUAAUCUCGGGAAACUGAGCAUAAUUCUUGAUAGAUCAUAAUGCCUGGAAUGGUUUAUGGUUAAAAUGAUUCGUCGCCAUAGGAUGGGACUGCGGCCUAUCAGCUUGUUGGUGAGGUAAUGGCCCACCAAGGCGAUUACAGGUACGGGCUCUGAGAGGAGAAGCCCGGAGAUGGGUACUGAGACACGGACCCAGGCCCUAUGGGGCGCAGCAGGCGAGAAAACUUUGCAAUGUGCGAAAGCACGACAAGGUUAAUCCGAGUGAUUUCUGCUAAAGAAAUCUUUUACCAGUCGUAAAACCGCUGGUGAAUAAGGGGUGGGCAAGUUCUGGUGUCAGCCGCCGCGGUAAAACCAGCACCUCAAGUGGUCAGGAUGAUUAUUGGGCCUAAAGCAUCCGUAGCCGGCUUUGUAAGUUUUCGGUUAAAUCCAUGUGCUCAACGCAUGGGCUGCCGAAAAUACUGCAUAGCUAGGGAGUGGAAGAGGUAGACGGUACUCAGUAGGUAGGGGUAAAAUCCUUUGAUCUAUUGAUGACCACCUGUGGCGAA
This 663-nucleotide ribosomal RNA is filed under the name uncultured archaeon. Its description in RNAcentral is "bacterial SSU rRNA". It matches the Rfam family "Archaeal small subunit ribosomal RNA", at positions 1 to 670 of the family's 1478-position model. The record is from RNAcentral.